ACCUAAGCAGUGAUGCCUCAGGAACAACUGUUCCCAAGCCACUGCUCAAGUCCUGGUCCUGGUGAUGUGUGUGCGUGGCUGACAGAGAGGUGUGAGGACCGAAGAAGUUUGGCACCAUGGAAACUCAGAGGCUCUGCAUUGAGGAGAAGGAGGCAGGCCUGACUGGGAGAAUGUGAUUCCUUUCAGAGCAUGGUCAAGUUGAGGGCCUGACUCAGAGGCCACAUCACCCUUUCAGUCCUGGGCUUCUGUAGCAGCAGAAGGCCUUAGACCAGUGGCCAUGCACAAUCAAAUGCUGCACUUAAACAGCUCAUUAUAGUAGGGAAGGGCAGCUGGCCAUCCUUCCUGGUGUGUUAGUAGCUCACUAUUCAUUGUUUUCUGUGUGAUGCUGGUUUAGGCUGCAGCUUUGGCUCUGGUGUUCCCCUGCUAUGGUUGCAGAGACAGGCUCUGCCCCAAAGUAAUGGAUGCUGCAAAAGCAGAACCACAGGCGUGAAAGCAGUAGCUGCAAGAAUUGGAGUGUGUCCACUGACUCCAAGUUUUGCUACUUUCAGUGUUCCUAAACCAAUGCAUUAAGAAGCACAAGAGCACAAAGAUAAGAUGAACUUUCUUGGUAUAAUAACUCUAAAUACUGUUGAGUUUAAGAAAGCCACAAACAGCUAUUUGAGGACUUGCUCUCUGCCCCAGUAGAGGUACUCAGGUACUAAAACCCAAAAACAACUGCAUAGGAAUGCUGCAUUUCACACAAGAGCUCAGCAUCCCUGGUUCCAAGCCUGCCAGCCACAGCAGCAGUACUGAAUGAG
Molecule: long non-coding RNA, 797 nt
Organism: Passer domesticus (house sparrow)
Lineage: Eukaryota; Metazoa; Chordata; Aves; Passeriformes; Passeridae
Exons: 5
Source: RefSeq, a predicted model, not a curated record